RNAcentral lists this ribosomal RNA (468 nucleotides) under uncultured bacterium. RNAcentral describes it as "partial 16S ribosomal RNA". It matches the Rfam family "Bacterial small subunit ribosomal RNA", at positions 28 to 507 of the family's 1533-position model. The record is from RNAcentral.
GACGAACGCUGGCGGCGCGCUUAACACAUGCAAGUCGAACGGAUAGGCCCUGCUUUUGUGGGGUGCUCGAGUGGCGAACGGGUGAGUAACACGUGAGUAACCUGCCCUUGACUUUGGGAUAACUUCAGGAAACUGGGGCUAAUACCGGAUAGGAGCUCCUGCUGCAUGGUGGGGGUUGGAAAGUUUCGGCGGUUGGGGAUGGACUCGCGGCUUAUCAGCUUGUUGGUGGGGUAGUGGCUUACCAAGGCUUUGACGGGUAGCCGGCCUGAGAGGGUGACCGGCCACAUUGGGACUGAGAUACGGCCCAGACUCCUACGGGAGGCAGCAGUGGGGAAUAUUGCACAAUGGGCGGAAGCCUGAUGCAGCAACGCCGCGUGCGGGAUGACGGCCUUCGGGUUGUAAACCGCUUUCGCCUGUGACGAAGCGUGAGUGACGGUAAUGGGUAAAGAAGCACCGGCUAACUACGUG